RNAcentral lists this ribosomal RNA (158 nucleotides) under Madracis decactis. RNAcentral's name for it is "5.8S ribosomal RNA". It matches the Rfam family "5.8S ribosomal RNA". From Rfam's summary of the family: 5.8S ribosomal RNA (5.8S rRNA) is a component of the large subunit of the eukaryotic ribosome. It is transcribed by RNA polymerase I as part of the 45S precursor that also contains 18S and 28S rRNA. Lineage: Eukaryota; Metazoa; Cnidaria; Anthozoa; Scleractinia; Pocilloporidae. The record is from RNAcentral.
ACUUUUGACGGUGGAUCUCUUGGCUCACGCGUCGAUGAAGAACGCAGCCAGCUGCGAUAAGUAGUGUGAAUUGCAGAAUUCAGUGAAUCAUCGAAUCUUUGAACGCAAAUGGCGCUCUUGGGUUCUCCCAGGAGCAUGUCUGUCUGAGUGUCGGAUAU